CAAUAGCGUAUAUUAAAGUUGUUGCGGUUAAAAAGCUCGUAGUUGGAUUUCUGCCGAGGACGACCGGUCCGCCCUCCGGGUGAGUAUCUGGUUUGGCCUGGGCAUCUUCUUGGAGAACGUAGCUGCACUUGACUGUGUGGUGCGGUGUCCAGGACUUUUACUUUGAGGAAAUUAGAGUGUUUCAAGCAGGCACACGCCUUGAAUACAUUAGCAUGGAAUAAUAAGAUAGGACCUCGGUUCUAUUUUGUUGGUUUCUAGAGCUGAGGUAAUGAUUAAUAGGGAUAGUUGGGGGCAUUCGUAUUUAACUGUCAGAGGUGAAAUUCUUGGAUUUGUUAAAGACUGACUACUGCGAAAGCAUUUGCCAAGGAUGUUUUCAUUGA
This 380-nucleotide ribosomal RNA is filed under the name uncultured eukaryote. Its description in RNAcentral is "partial 18S ribosomal RNA". It matches the Rfam family "Eukaryotic small subunit ribosomal RNA", at positions 592 to 976 of the family's 1831-position model. The record is from RNAcentral.